GACGAACGCUGGCGGCGUGCCUAACACAUGCAAGUCGAACGCUGAAGGCGGAGCUUGCUGUUCUGGAUGAGUUGCGAACGGGUGAGUAACGCGUAGGUAACCUGCCUGUUACCGGGGGAUAACUUUUGGAAACGAUAGCUAAUCCCGCCUAAGAGUAGUUGUUGUAUGAUAUUUGCUCAAAAGGUUCAAUUGUUUGUCUACCAGAUGGCUAUGCGUUGUAUUAGCUAGUGGGUGGGGUAACGGCUCACCAAGGCGACGAGACGUAGCCGACCUGCGAGGGUGAUCGGCAAAGCUGGGACGGGAGCACGACCCGGACUCCUGCGAGAGGCAGCAGUAGGGAACCUUCGGCGGUGGCCGGAGGUCUGACCAAUCAACGCCGCGCGAGAGAAUAAGGUAGUCGGGUCGUGAGAGUGUGUAAUAAGAGAAGAACGUAUAUGUGUGUGAAAAGGGCACAUUAUGACAGUAUCGUACCAAAAAGCGACGGCUAACUACGUG
RNAcentral lists this ribosomal RNA (495 nucleotides) under uncultured bacterium. Its description in RNAcentral is "partial 16S ribosomal RNA". It matches the Rfam family "Bacterial small subunit ribosomal RNA", at positions 28 to 507 of the family's 1533-position model. The record is from RNAcentral.